RNAcentral lists this long non-coding RNA (688 nucleotides) under Callithrix jacchus (white-tufted-ear marmoset). RNAcentral's name for it is "lncRNA (ENSCJAG00000078222.1)". Lineage: Eukaryota; Metazoa; Chordata; Mammalia; Primates; Cebidae. The record is from RNAcentral.
CCUCUGUAUUUGCUCUAUGGGUCUUAUUUGGCAAAGCUGUGUAAUUACCAAAUUUUCUAUCAAGAUGCUGUAUCCUACCUUCCCUCUUAAAGUCCUCAGGAAGACUAGCAGAAGCUUGGUGACAGAAACGUCAGACUACAGCUGUGGAUCUCUACUCUUCCACUACCCUCCAGAAUGAUGAAUGUUGUCAGAAUGACACAGAAACUUGUUGGUAUGUAUCCAGCAUGGCCUGGUCCCAGAAACAAAGAUGAAAAUGGAAACAAUUCUUUCAGAGAUCCUUGAACACUUUAGACGGGGGAACUGAGGCCUGGAGUGGUCGAAUGACUUCUUUGAUUUUAUACAGUGUAUGAGAGGCAGCAUUAGCAUAUGAGAGGUCCUGAGACUCAAUGAAGUUUCAGUUACAAGAAGAAAAAUUUAGAGAUUCUGUUUGCCAUGUUGAUUGUCAUCUGCCAUCUAUCUAUAGCAUGCCUGCUAUCAAAAAAGAAAGAUAACAAAGUGAAAUAGAUACCAAUUCAGGAAUCAGAAUUUAUUUAUUUAUCCUGUAUUCACUGAGUAUCUUCCACAUUCUAGGCACUGUUCUAUGUUCUGGGGAAAAAGUAGUAAACAAAAUAGACAAAAUUCUUGUUUUCGUACCCUAUAGGCCGUGAGACAAGCAGUGAAUAUGUUUAAGAAAAACCCAAAACCAAAC